This 489-nucleotide ribosomal RNA is filed under the name uncultured bacterium. Its description in RNAcentral is "bacterial SSU rRNA". It matches the Rfam family "Bacterial small subunit ribosomal RNA", at positions 29 to 509 of the family's 1533-position model. The record is from RNAcentral.
AGUGAACGCUGGCGGCAGGCCUAAUACAUGCAAGUCGAACGGCAGCACAGCAGAGCUUGCUCUGUGGGUGGCGAGUGGCGGACGGGUGAGGAAUACAUGGGAAUCUGCCCAGUCGUGGGGGAUAACGUAUGGAAACGUACGCUAAUACCGCAUGCGCCCUACGGGGGAAAGUCGGGGACCGCAAGGCCUGGCGCGAUUGGAUGAGCCCAUGUUCGAUUAGCUAGUUGGCGGGGUAAAGGCCCACCAAGGCGACGAUCGAUAGCUGGUCUGAGAGGAUGAUCAGCCACACUGGAACUGAGACACGGUCCAGACUCCUACGGGAGGCAGCAGUAGGGAAUAUUGGACAAUGGGGGCAACCCUGAUCCAGCCAUGCCGCGUGAGUGAAGAAGGCCCUCGGGUUGUAAAGCUCUUUUGUCCGGAAGAAAGCAAUCGGUUAAUACCCGGUUGUUCUGACGGUACCGGAGAAUAAGCACCGGCUAACUUCGUGCC